Molecule: ribosomal RNA, 116 nt
Filed under: Pteropus alecto (black flying fox)
Lineage: Eukaryota; Metazoa; Chordata; Mammalia; Chiroptera; Pteropodidae
Source: RNAcentral
GUCUAUGGCCAUGCCACCCUGAACGAGCCCGAAGUUUGGUCUCAGAAGCUAAGCAGGGUUGGGCCUGGUUGGUACUUGGAUGGGACACCACCUAUGAAGACCAGGUGCUGUAGGCA